GUGCGGGCCGUGAGGGGUGUGCGCGCUUGAGCCGGAGCGGGGCUCGCCCCUCGUCGGCUCCCGCCGCCCAGCCGGUGAUCGCUCUCCGGCCGUCCCCGGCACCCUCGGCCCCCCACGGCGGUUGGUCCGGGCGGGGGAAGGAGAAAGUGAGACUCGGUGUCAUCACCAAUCCAUCGCCAGAAGGGGAGGAAACUGGAAUCCAGCAGCGGCGAGCAGCAGCUGGACGGUAACAUCUGGAAAUGGAAAGCCGACCUCCCCCUCCUCCUCCACCUCCUCCUCCUCCUCCUCCUCCUCCUCCUCCUCCUCUCACCCAGGAUCACUUCCAAAACCACUUGGCCUUCAGCCCCUGCCUCGGCCAGAGGUUUCAUUUUUAACUGAAUAUUUACGAAAGCUGAAAGCGUGCGAGGGGGGUGGGGUGGAAAUAGCGGCUGCUUCUUUUCCAAGGAUUUAUUUAAUGGGGAUGUGUUCAAGGCAAGACCGAAUUCAGAAGGAUAUCGACGUCGUGAUCCAGAAGUCCAGAGCUGAGGACUGCCUGUUUGCAGAUUUCAGAUACUCAGACUCCACCUUUACUUUUACCUAUGUUGGCGGCCCCAGAAGGGCCCGCCUGGCAGGACGACUGAGCAAGUCCUUGGAAAACCAGAGAUAUUAGAGCGGUGAAUCGCGCUGGUCACGUUGGACACCUGCGCGUUAGGAGAUUCUGGAGCCAGAGGGAGAGACCCCAGAAACUCCCCGGUCGGCGACCCAGCCCGAGACGCCUGGGGUCCCAAGGGAAGCUGAACGCCCGGUGGGCUCCCGGGAUGGUUCUUCCGGUUCUUUGUGCCGCCUUCACCCAGUGAAGGAGCCUGUAUCCACCCUGCCCAGUCGCUGUUGGGCUGCUGCGGAGCUUCCGCUGCCAUCUUCGGAUCCUGUGUUCCGCCCGGGGCUCCACCAGGGCAGGGAUGGUGGUGAGGGUCGCUCGUGGGUCCCCUGGCAGGGAGCAGGGUCUGGCACUCACAAGGGCGCACGACUAGGACUUGUCGAAUGAAUCCUUUGUCGCCUUUAGCUUUUAGUCCUUUGAAGAGAGCAGAAUGGGGAAAUGGAGAGAGAACCUGAAAGAGCCCCAAACUCGAGGACCUAUUGCUCCCCAAGAAUAACAUCUUCCAGAACUAGACAGAAAACUAGGCGUCUGGGAACCCUGAAAUCCUUGGAGGAGUAGAUCAUCAUGACCCUCUGUGUUCCUUUUGGCAAAUGACUUGCUUCCAUUGUUUGUUUGUUCAAUUGUCUGUUUGUUAAAUAAAUAAAACCCUUUUCAU
Molecule: long non-coding RNA, 1292 nt
Filed under: Homo sapiens (human)
Lineage: Eukaryota; Metazoa; Chordata; Mammalia; Primates; Hominidae
Description: HSALNT0295623
Source: RNAcentral